AGAGUUUGAUCCUGGCUCAGGAUGAACGCUAGCGGCAGGCUUAACACAUGCAAGUCGAGGGGCAGCGGGGAGGAAGCUUGCUUUCUCCGCCGGCGACCGGCGCACGGGUGAGUAACACGUAUGCAACCUGCCCCUGUCAGGGGGACAACCCGCCGAAAGGCGGGCUAAACCCGCGUACAUGCCCCCGGGGCAUCCCGGAGGCCGGAAAGGGUUUGGCCGGACCGGGAAGGGCAUGGGGGGCCUUAGGCCGUAGGCGGGGGAACGGCCCCCCUGACGGGCGAUGGGUAGGGGUUUUGAGAGGAAGGUUCCCCCCCCUGGGAAUGAGACCCGGACCCGACUUCUUCGGGAGGCAGCCGUGAGGAAUAUUGGUCAAUGGUCGGGAGAGUGAACCAGCCAAACUGGGUGAGGGAGGAAGGUCCAGAGUAUUGUUAACCUUUUUUGUCAGGGGACAAAGGCGGGGAAGUGUCCCUUGAUGAGUGUUCCUGAAGAAAAAGCAUUGGCUAACUUCGUGCCAGCAGCCGCGGUAAUUCGGAGGAAGCGAGCGUUAUUCGGAUUUAUUGGGUUUAAAGGGUGGGCCGGCGGUAUGUUAAGUUAGCGGUCAAAGCCCGGGGCUCAACCCCGGCCCGCCGUUGAAACUGGCAGUCUCGAGUUGGAGAGAAGUAUGCGGAAUGCGCGGUGUAGCGGUGAAAUGCAUAGAUAUCGCGCAGAACUCCGAUUGCGAAGGCAGCAUGCCGGCUCCACACUGACGGUGAGGCACGAAAGCGUGGGUAUCGAACAGGAUUAGAUACCCUGGUAGUCCCCGCAGUAAACGAUGAAUCAUGGCUGUCUGGGGGGAUUGACCCGUGGAUGGGUAAAGGAAAGCGAUAAGCAUUCCACCUGGGGAGUACGCCGGCAACGGUGAAACUCAAAGGAAUUGACGGGGGCCCGCACAAGCGGAGGAACAUGUGGUUUAAUUCGAUGAUACGCGAGGAACCUUACCCGGGCUCAAACGGGGCGUGACUCAGGCAGAGAGGCGUGUUUCCCUCGGGACACUCCCCGAGGUGCUGCAUGGUUGUCGUCAGCUCGUGCCGUGAGGUGUCGGCUUAAGUGCCAUAACGAGCGCAACCCCCGUGUGCAGUUGCUAUCAGAUAAAGCUGAGGACUCUGCAGGGACUGCCGGCGCAAGCCGCGAGGAAGGCGGGGAUGACGUCAAAUCAGCACGGCCCUUACGUCCGGGGCGACACACGUGUCACAAUGGGUGGUACAGCGGGAAGCCAGGCGGCGACGCCGAGCGGAACCCGAAAUCCACUCUCAGUUCGGAUCGAGGUCUGCAACCCGACUCCGUGAAGCUGGAUUCGCUAGUAAUCGCGCAUCAGCCAUGGCGCGGUGAAUACGUUCCCGGGCCUUGCACACACCGCCCGUCAAG
Molecule: ribosomal RNA, 1404 nt
Filed under: uncultured bacterium
Lineage: Bacteria
Description: bacterial SSU rRNA
Rfam family: Bacterial small subunit ribosomal RNA
Source: RNAcentral